RNAcentral lists this ribosomal RNA (429 nucleotides) under Bacteroidota bacterium. Its description in RNAcentral is "Bacteroidetes bacterium partial 16S ribosomal RNA". It matches the Rfam family "Bacterial small subunit ribosomal RNA", at positions 355 to 776 of the family's 1533-position model. The record is from RNAcentral. Lineage: Bacteria; Pseudomonadati; Bacteroidota.
UAGGGAAUCUUCCGCAAUGGACGCAAGUCUGACGGAGCAACGCCGCGUGAGUGAAGAAGGAUUUCGGUUCGUAAAACUCUGUUGUUAGAGAAGAACAGCGCAUAGAGUAACUGUUAUGCGUGUGACGGUAUCUAACCAGAAAGCCACGGCUAACUACGUGCCAGCAGCCGCGGUAAUACGUAGGUGGCAAGCGUUGUCCGGAUUUAUUGGGCGUAAAGCGAGCGCAGGCGGUCAAUUAAGUCUGAUGUGAAAGCCCCCGGCUCAACCGGGGAGGGUCAUUGGAAACUGGAAAACUUGAGUGCAGAAGAGGAAAGUGGAAUUCCAUGUGUAGCGGUGAAAUGCGCAGAGAUAUGGAGGAACACCAGUGGCGAAGGCGACUUUCUGGUCUGUAACUGACGCUGAUGUGCGAAAGCGUGGGGAUCAAACAGG